GACGAACGCUGGCGGCGUGCUUAACACAUGCAAGUCGAACGGAAAGGCCCUGCUUUUGUGGGGUGCUCGAGUGGCGAACGGGUGAGUAACACGUGAGUAACCUGCCCUUUACUUUGGGAUAACUUCAUGAAACUGGGGCUCAUACCGGAUAGGAGCUCCUGCUGCAUGGUGGUGGUUGGAAAGUUUCGGCGGUUGGGGAUGGACUCGAGGCUUAUCAGCUUGUUGGUGGGGUAGUGGCUUACCAAGGCUUGGACGGGUAGCCGGCCUGAGAGGGUGACCGGGCACAUUGGGCUAGGGGUGCGGCCGGGAGUCAGACGGGAGGAAGGGGUGAGGAAUAUACCGAGCUGGGCGGAAGCAGGGUGCAGGAAGGCCGGAUGGGGGAUCACGGCCUGCAGGUUGUAACCGGGUUGCGCGUGUAAAGCACCGUAAGUGACGGUAAUGGGUAAAGAAGCACCGGCUAACUACGUG
RNAcentral lists this ribosomal RNA (468 nucleotides) under uncultured bacterium. RNAcentral describes it as "partial 16S ribosomal RNA". It matches the Rfam family "Bacterial small subunit ribosomal RNA", at positions 28 to 507 of the family's 1533-position model. The record is from RNAcentral.